Molecule: non-coding RNA, 1514 nt
Organism: Taeniopygia guttata (zebra finch)
Lineage: Eukaryota; Metazoa; Chordata; Aves; Passeriformes; Estrildidae
Source: RefSeq, a predicted model, not a curated record
GCCGCUGCCGGGCCGGGCGGGGAAGCGCCACCGACCGCUGUGCGCCAUCUUUACUGAGAGGCGACGAGCCAGAGAGCGGGGCCGGGCCGCACCCCGCGCCCUGCAUAGCGCUUCGCCGGCCCGUGGAGGCGCUGCAUAACAACGGCUGCCAUGCAGGUUGUGGGGCUCCGCCAUCCCGCCGCCCCGCCACAUGAAUAAACCACGCUCGAUCAGUGCCAGCCCGGCAUAACGCUGGGUGAUAUGCAGGACCCCGGGCCCAAGCCCCAGUGCAGUCCCCCGUCCUGGAUAGUGCAGCAUCGCGUCGCCGCGGCCCCUCAUAACUCGCAUUGUUGUACAGGUGCAGGGCUCCUCGCGAUUUAGCCCCGGAACCUGCCUGACGUAUAAGCGGGCCGCAAGCAACCCUCAUAACCCCGACGGCGAUGCCGAGAGGGAGCGGGAGCCCCGCGCCCCGGACCGCGCAUACGGCAUAGGCGGUGCUGCCGACCCCUGCAUAGCGCCGGGCCGUAUGCGGGGCGCGGGGCGCGGCCCCGGGCCCGGCACGGCGGAGCCCGCGUUCCCCCCGAGACUCUGCGCUGCUCGGCCCGGGACGAGCCGGUCCCCGCGGGGGGACCGCGGCCCGAGCUGCGGUACCGAGCACCCGCGGCUUCGCCCUACGCCUCCGGCCCGGGCCGUGCCCUGCCUGCGGCCCCGCGCCCUGCCGGUGCCGCCGCCGGGAGGGAGGCGGCGGCGACACCACCGGGCUGGCAACCCCGUCGUGCUCGGCGCGGCGAGAGCAGGGUUAACAUCCAACAAGUGCCCACCGUACUCUACUCCCCCACAGAAGCCAGGGAGCUCACUGAGCCUCAGUUUUCCCAUCUGUGGCAUGGAAGCGACUUGUGACCAGCUGUGAGCCAGAGCUGCUGGGACAGGAAGCCUUCUUUUUAACAAGAAAGAAGAAAAGGUUCCCAUCCAUACCACGAACAACCUACUGCUGACCACCCCUGGAGUGUGUGAGCUCACCUGCACUCUCUGUCAAAGCACACCAGGCCUCCUGGAGGGAUGACCUGCUGAGAAGGUCAGUUCUGCUGCAGGGAGAGCAAGUGACAUGCUACUGGCACAGUCACCCCAGGAACAUCGGGGUCACUGAGGGCUGGAGCCUGGAGGGUCACUGGCGUGCACAGCACAACACCCAGAGGAGCAAAGGAGCAGCGGGACCACAACAGUAUCAACAUGGAGCAAUACUGACUAAAACCAUCUUGUAAGACAGUAAAAACAGGCUGCUAUCUUCAGAGAACUCCGACAAAUUAUUUUCUGAACUUGUCAGAGCACAGGGCACUCACCAGGUUUUGUACAAAAUCCUGCAAGAGCUGGCUGACACUGAGCAAGGUGGUAGAACCCUAGACAGCUCAACCUUUGGCCGGUGGGAGCUGAGGUAACACAUGCAGCAAAGCUCUGCUUACACAGGCUUCCACUGCACCAGAUACACACCAAACCAAAAGAGCCAUGUUCCCUAUGCAAUAAACCAUGGAAAUUGC